CUACGGGUUGCACCAGUGGGGAAUAUUGGACAAUGGGGGAAACCCUGAUCCAGCAAUGCCGCGUGUGUGAAGAAGGCCUUAGGGUUGUAAAGCACUUUCAGUAGUGAGGAAAAGUUUAAGGCUAAUACCCUUGAACCCUGACGUUAACUACAGAAGAAGCACCGGCUAACUUCGUGCCAGCAGCCGCGGUAAUACGAAGUGUGCAAGCGUUAAUCGGAUUUACUGGGCGUAAAGCGCGCGUAGGCGGUUUGAUAAUUCGGAUGUGAAAGCCCCGGGCUCAACCUGGGAAUUGCAUUCGAUACUGUCAGGCUAGAGUAUGGUAGAGGGAAGUGGAAUUCGACAUGUAGCGGUGAAAUGCGUAGAUAUGUGGAGGAACACCAGUGGCGAAGGCGACUUCCUGGCCCAAUACUGACGCUGAGGUGCGAAAGCGUGGGGAGCAAACAGGAUUAGAUACCCGCGUAGUC
RNAcentral lists this ribosomal RNA (464 nucleotides) under uncultured bacterium. RNAcentral describes it as "partial 16S ribosomal RNA". It matches the Rfam family "Bacterial small subunit ribosomal RNA", at positions 339 to 795 of the family's 1533-position model. The record is from RNAcentral.